This 253-nucleotide ribosomal RNA is filed under the name uncultured bacterium. Its description in RNAcentral is "partial 16S ribosomal RNA". It matches the Rfam family "Bacterial small subunit ribosomal RNA", at positions 524 to 776 of the family's 1533-position model. The record is from RNAcentral.
UACGUAGGGUGCGAGCGUUACUCGGAAUUACUGGGCGUAAAGCGUGCGCAGGCGGUGAUGUAAGUCAGGUGUGAAAUCCCCGGGCUUAACCUGGGAACUGCAUUUGUGACUGCAAGGCUUGAGUGCGGCAGAGGAGACUGGAAUUCCUGGUGUAGCAGUGAAAUGCGUAGAUAUCUGGAGGAACACCGGUGGCGAAGGCGGCAUCCUGGACCGGCAUUGACGCUGAGGAGCGAAAGCCAGGGGAGCAAACGGG